Molecule: non-coding RNA, 29 nt
Filed under: Mus musculus (house mouse)
Lineage: Eukaryota; Metazoa; Chordata; Mammalia; Rodentia; Muridae
Source: RNAcentral
UAGUGCAAAACUGUUAUCUGAAUAAUAGU